This 253-nucleotide ribosomal RNA is filed under the name uncultured bacterium. RNAcentral describes it as "partial 16S ribosomal RNA". It matches the Rfam family "Bacterial small subunit ribosomal RNA", at positions 524 to 776 of the family's 1533-position model. The record is from RNAcentral.
UACAGAGGGGGCAAGCGUUAUUCGGAAUUAUUGGGCGUAAAGGGCGCGUAGGCGGCCUGGCAAGUGGAUGGUGAAAUCCCUCGGCUUAACCGAGGAACUGCCAUCCAGACUGCUUGGCUUGAGACCGGGAGAGGUGAGUGGAAUUCCCAGUGUAGCGGUGAAAUGCGUAGAUAUUGGGAGGAACACCAGUGGCAAAGGCGGCUCACUGGACCGGUACUGACGCUGAUGCGCGAAAGCGUGGGGAGCAAACGGG